Molecule: ribosomal RNA, 564 nt
Filed under: uncultured eukaryote
Lineage: Eukaryota
Description: bacterial SSU rRNA
Rfam family: Eukaryotic small subunit ribosomal RNA
Source: RNAcentral
CUGGUUGAUCCUGCCAGUAAUCAUAUGCUUGUCUUAAAGAUUAAGCCAUGCAUGUCUAAGUAUAAGCACGUUGAACGGCGAAACUGCGAACGGCUCCUUAAAUCAGUUAUAGUUUAUUUGAUCGUACCUACUACUUGGAUAACCGUAGUAAUUCUAGAGCUAAUACAUGCUGAAAGGCCCGACUUUUUGGAAGGGUUGCAUUUAUUAGAUAUAAAGCCGAUACCGGGGGGGCAACUCCUCGGUUUUGGUGAUUCAUAAUAACUACGCGGAUCGCAUGGCCUUGUGCCGGCGACGCUUCGAUCAAAUUUCUGCCCUAUCAACUAUGAUGGUAGUGUAUUGGACUACCAUGGUAGUAACGGGUGACGGAGAAUUAGGGUUCGAUUCCGGAGAGGGAGCUUGAGAAAUGGCUACCACUUCCAAGGAAGGCAGCAGGCGCGCAAAUUACCCAAUGUCAAUACGAUGAGGUAGUGACGAGAAAUAACGAUACGGGCCGUGCAAACGGCUCGUAAUCGGAAUGAGCACAAUUUAAACCCCUUAGCGAGGAACAAUUGGAGGGCAAGUCUG